AGUGAACGCUGGCGGUAGGCCUAACACAUGCAAGUCGAACGGCAGCACAGUAAGAGCUUGCUCUUACGGGUGGCGAGUGGCGGACGGGUGAGGAAUACAUCGGAAUCUACUUUUUCGUGGGGGAUAACGUAGGGAAACUUACGCUAAUACCGCAUACGACCUUCGGGUGAAAGCAGGGGAUCUUCGGACCUUGCGCGAUUGAAUGAGCCGAUGUCGGAUUAGCUAGUUGGCGGGGUAAAGGCCCACCAAGGCGACGAUCCGUAGCUGGUCUGAGAGGAGGAUCGGCCACACUGGAACUGAGACAGGCUCCAGGCUCCUACGGGAGGCAGCAGUGGGGAAUAUUGGACAAUGGGCGCAAGCCUGGUCCAGCCAUACCGAGUGGGUUAAGAAGGCCUUCGGGUUGUAAAGCCCUUUUGUUGGGAAAGAAAAGCAGCAGGUUAAUACCCCGCUGUUCUGACGGUACCCAAUGAAUAAGCACCGGCUAACUUCGUG
Molecule: ribosomal RNA, 492 nt
Filed under: uncultured bacterium
Lineage: Bacteria
Description: partial 16S ribosomal RNA
Rfam family: Bacterial small subunit ribosomal RNA
Source: RNAcentral